UACGUAGGGUGCAAGCGUUGUCCGGAAUUAUUGGGCGUAAAGAGCUCGUAGGCGGUCUGUCGCGUCUGCUGUGAAAACUCGGGGCUUAACCCCGGGCCUGCAGUGGGUACGGGCAGACUAGAGUGCGGUAGGGGAGACUGGAAUUCCUGGUGUAGCGGUGAAAUGCGCAGAUAUCAGGAGGAACACCGAUGGCGAAGGCAGAUCUCUGGGCCGUAACUGACGCUGAGGAGCGAAAGCAUGGGGAGCGAACAGG
This 253-nucleotide ribosomal RNA is filed under the name uncultured bacterium. RNAcentral's name for it is "partial 16S ribosomal RNA". It matches the Rfam family "Bacterial small subunit ribosomal RNA", at positions 524 to 776 of the family's 1533-position model. The record is from RNAcentral.